UGGGGAAUAUUGCACAAUGGGGGAGGACCCUGAUGCAGCGACGCCGCGUGAGCGAAGAAGUAUUUCGGUAUGUAAAGCUCUAUCAGCAGGGAAGAAGAUGACGGUACCUGACUAAGAAGCUCCGGCUAAAUACGUGCCAGCAGCCGCGGUAAUACGUAUGGAGCAAGCGUUAUCCGGAUUUACUGGGUGUAAAGGGAGCGCAGGCGGCGCGGCAAGUCUGAUGUGAAAAUACCGGGGGCCCAACCCCGGGACUGCAUUGGAAACUGUCGGGCUAGAGUGUCGGAGGGGCAGGCGGAAUUCCUAGUGUAGCGGUGAAAUGCGUAGAUAUUAGGAGGAACACCGGUGGCGAAGGCGGCCUGCUGGACGACAACUGACGCUGAGGCUCGAAAGCGUGGGGAGCAAACAGGAUUAGAUACCC
RNAcentral lists this ribosomal RNA (418 nucleotides) under uncultured bacterium. Its description in RNAcentral is "bacterial SSU rRNA". It matches the Rfam family "Bacterial small subunit ribosomal RNA", at positions 355 to 787 of the family's 1533-position model. The record is from RNAcentral.